UACGUAGGUGGCAAGCGCUAUCCGGAAUUAUUGGGCGUAAAGCGCGCGUAGGCGGUUUUUUAAGUCUGAUGUGAAAGCCCACGGCUCAACCGUGGAGGGUCAUUGGAAACUGGAAAACUUGAGUGCAGAAGAGGAAAGUGGAAUUCCAUGUGUAGCGGUGAAAUGCGCAGAGAUAUGGAGGAACACCAGUGGCGAAGGCGACUUUCUGGUCUGUAACUGACGCUGAUGUGCGAAAGCGUGGGGAUCAAAC
Molecule: ribosomal RNA, 250 nt
Filed under: uncultured Staphylococcus sp.
Lineage: Bacteria; Bacillati; Bacillota; Bacilli; Caryophanales; Staphylococcaceae
Description: partial 16S ribosomal RNA
Rfam family: Bacterial small subunit ribosomal RNA
Source: RNAcentral